Molecule: ribosomal RNA, 382 nt
Filed under: Mesorhizobium sp. R-45834
Lineage: Bacteria; Pseudomonadati; Pseudomonadota; Alphaproteobacteria; Hyphomicrobiales; Phyllobacteriaceae
Description: bacterial SSU rRNA
Rfam family: Bacterial small subunit ribosomal RNA
Source: RNAcentral
GCUCAGAACGAACGCUGGCGGCAGGCUUAACACAUGCAAGUCGAGCGCCUCGCAAGAGGAGCGGCAGACGGGUGAGUAACGCGUGGGAAUCUACCCAUCUCUACGGAACAACUCCGGGAAACUGGAGCUAAUACCGUAUACGUCCUUCGGGAGAAAGAUUUAUCGGAGAUGGAUGAGCCCGCGUUGGAUUAGCUAGUUGGUGGGGUAAUGGCCUACCAAGGCGACGAUCCAUAGCUGGUCUGAGAGGAUGAUCAGCCACWUUGGGACUGAGACWCGGCCCAAACUCCUACGGGAGGCAGCWGUGGGGAAUAUUGGACWAUGGGCGAAAGCCUGAUCCWGCCWUGCCGCGUGAGUGAUGAAGGCCCUAGGGUUGUAAAGCUCU